UUCCAUAAGGUACAGAAAAUAUUUACAUUCAAGAAGCAAGUUCUUUCUUCAAUUUCUUGACAGCAGACCGCUUUAAUUAUAUGUGUGCUGACAGGACUACAGAGAGAUCCCAUGUGACCACAGUGCAAGGGAAGAAAGCUUAUCAUCAGGUGACAGAAGAAUGCCCUUAUUGUUAGCACCAGGACUCACAAAUAAGCCUUUCCAUUGUGUCAUAUACCGGUAUAAACACACCACUCCUGUGGCAUGGAGCUAAUAUGUUAAUAAGGUGCUACUAAUGACUUUUCACCGUACAAAAGAGACCAACUCCUGCCCCCUAAACAGCUAUGGAUCUUCUGUUUGGAAACAGAGAUCUGUUACAGAAGAUUUCUUUAUAACUUACUAUCCUGGAGCACAGAUGAAAAAUGUUGGUAUGGGUUGCCGACCGUGCCUGUUCACUUUGAGGCACAGACUACUGCUGGAGCAUUGCAGCAAUGACACCAGACUGCCAUACUGAAGUCUGCUCACUGCAACGACCAGUACAGCCACCAAGCAAAAAGAGAUUAUCCAUAUGCAGUGUGACCUCACCAGACAGCACCAAUUUUGCCCAGAACAGAUGAGAUGUCCCCCCCUGGCAAACUUAAACAAUGGAAGAGCUUUAAACAGAGACUGUACAUGAAGAAUUUCACCCCACACGUUCCGUUGAGGAUGCUGCUGCUGAAAACCUUGCAUUUGAUGAACUCAGUGAAGAAAGAGACUAACUCCUGGUGAAAUGCCAACUACUGUUUUACACCUUCUAUCGAGAUGCAUCAUGUGCCUGCAAAAGGCACAAGCUGCGCCAGGGGAAAUUUAGGCUGGAGGUGAGGAGAAAGUUCUUCACUGAGAGAGUCAUUGGACACUGGAAUGGGCUGCCCGGGGAGGUGGUGGAGUCGCUGUCCCUGGGGCUGUUCAAGGCAGGACUGGAUGUGGCACUUGGUGCCAUGGUCUAGCCUUGAGCUCUGUGGUAAAGGGUUGGACUUGAUGAUCUGUGAGGUCUCUUCCAACCUUGGUGAUACUGUGAUACUGUGAAAAUAGCCUCGUUGUCCUCCUGGAGGUAAGUUUUUUGGCAAAUAUAGGAAGCAGUGGUACAAGUCAUUGGAGACCAUAGCUUUUAUUUUACCCAGAGCCUUCAUCAUCAUGGAACAUCCACGCACUGGAAUACAGCUCUGAUCCAGCACAACUAACAACACAUUUGAGAGGAGUUCAGUAUUCUAAGACCUACUCCACAUAUUGACAGACGAAAUUCAUGUGAAACCCUCCUCAACCAUCAAUGAAAAGAGAAUCCAAAGGAAUCACAUCACAUAUAAGGGUAAUAAACUUCAAAACCAGCACAACCUGAAUACAGAUGAGAAUCUAAUUGAACCAUCAGCAGAGUUCAAUGUAACAGUGCAUCUACCACUGGCAAUCUGUGCACAUUGGCCAGCUAUAGGUGGUGAGGCACAA
Long non-coding RNA from Pogoniulus pusillus (Red-fronted tinkerbird), 1458 nucleotides. RefSeq lists it as uncharacterized. The transcript has 4 exons. Lineage: Eukaryota; Metazoa; Chordata; Aves; Piciformes; Lybiidae. The record is from RefSeq and is a predicted model, not a curated record.